ACCCUGUAGUGCAUACUGUAUUAUUGUUUUAUUGCGAUGGAGCUGUGCUCAAUCUGGCCAUGUCUGUGUCACCUCUGCCCAUGAGUGAAUUGAGCCAGCAGUCCAGCAGAUGGCAGCAGGAGUCUGACGCUCCAGGACUUCAGAUCACAGAGGUACAGACUGUGACCUGCUGGUUGACAUGAACAUGACAUGUCUACAACCUCCCAGUCGCCCACUCUCAGGGCGGAAGCAAUCCCGGCUCCCUCUGAAGUGCAGCAAAAAGGGAAAUCGCUCCGUUUUUACUGCACGUCUAAGAGAGCAGCAGCUUCCUAAGGGUUGUCAUUUUCCAGUUUGUGAGUGGGUGGCUGUCGGCUGCGGUUUGUCACUUAGUGGACCUGGACUGAGACGUUUUAAAGGGUGUGAUGGUCCGUGACAAGGGAGGAAGACGUGGGGCCAAAGGGCCCUGUGGUCACACAUUCCUCAACUCCUCCAGCGCUGCCUACAGCCAUGACCAAAAUAUCAGAUCCAGUCAUGCAAACACUGUGGUCACAACAUCAUGCUUUCACACAUAAAGAUGUUUAUAUUGUGUUCUUGACAAUAAUAAUGCUGAUAAAAGUAACCUCUUUA
Gymnodraco acuticeps is the source of this 606-nucleotide long non-coding RNA. RefSeq lists it as uncharacterized. Lineage: Eukaryota; Metazoa; Chordata; Actinopteri; Perciformes; Bathydraconidae. The record is from RefSeq and is a predicted model, not a curated record. The transcript has 2 exons.